Molecule: ribosomal RNA, 492 nt
Filed under: uncultured bacterium
Lineage: Bacteria
Description: partial 16S ribosomal RNA
Rfam family: Bacterial small subunit ribosomal RNA
Source: RNAcentral
AGUGAACGCUGGCGGUAGGCCUAACACAUGCAAGUCGAACGGCAGCAUAGUAAGAGCUUGCUCUUACGGGUGGCGAGUGGCGGGUGGGUGAGGAAUAAAUCGGAAUUUACUUUUUCGUGGGGGUUAACGUAGGGAAACUUACGCUAAUACCGCAUACGACCUAAGGGUGAAAGCAGGGAAUCUUCGGACCUUGCGCGAUUGAAUGAGCCGAUGUCGGAUUAGCUAGUUGGCGGGGUCAAGGCCCACCAAGGCGACGAUCCGUAGCUGGUCUGAGAGGAUGGUCAGCCACACUGGAACUGAGACACGGUCCAGACUCCUACGGGAGGCAGCAGUGGGGAAUAUUGGGCAGUGGGCGCAAGCCUGAUCCAGCCAUACCGCGUGGGUGAAGAAGGCCUUCGGGUUGUAAAGCCCUUUUGUUGGGAAAGAAAAUCAGCAGGUUAAUACCCCGCUGUUCUGACGGUACCCAAAGAAUAAGCACCGGCUAACUUCGUG